CCUGAACUCACUAUGUAGACCAGGAUGGCCUUGAACUCACAAGGAUCUGCCUGCCUCUGCCCCUUGAGUGCUGGGAU
Molecule: microRNA precursor, 77 nt
Filed under: Nannospalax galili (Upper Galilee mountains blind mole rat)
Lineage: Eukaryota; Metazoa; Chordata; Mammalia; Rodentia; Spalacidae
Description: miRNA (ENSNGAG00000007421.1)
Source: RNAcentral